This 410-nucleotide ribosomal RNA is filed under the name uncultured bacterium. RNAcentral's name for it is "bacterial SSU rRNA". It matches the Rfam family "Bacterial small subunit ribosomal RNA", at positions 64 to 507 of the family's 1533-position model. The record is from RNAcentral.
GAACGCUUUUGCGGUUUCGGCCGCAAGGGAGUGGCGGACGGGUGAGUAGCGCGUGGGAACCUGCCCCUUUGUGGGGGAUAACCGAGGGAAACUUCGGCUAAUACCGCAUAACAUCGCAAGAUCAAAGCAGCAAUGCGCUUGGAGAGGGGGUCGCGGCUGAUUAGCUCGUUGGCGGGGUAACGGCCCACCAAGGCGAAGAUCGGUAUCCGGCCUGAGAGGGCGCACGGACACACUGGAACUGAAACACGGUCCAGACUCCUACGGGAGGCAGCAGUGGGGAAUUUUGCGCAAUGGGGGAAACCCUGACGCAGCAACGCCGCGUGGAGGAUGAAGUCCCUNUGGGAUGUAAACUCCUUUCGAUCGGGACGAUUAUGACGGUACCGGAAGAAGAAGCACCGGCUAACUCUGUG